This 193-nucleotide ribosomal RNA is filed under the name uncultured haloarchaeon. Its description in RNAcentral is "partial 16S ribosomal RNA". It matches the Rfam family "Archaeal small subunit ribosomal RNA", at positions 1083 to 1275 of the family's 1478-position model. Lineage: Archaea; Methanobacteriati; Methanobacteriota; Halobacteria; Halobacteriales; Halobacteriaceae. The record is from RNAcentral.
GUGGAUGGGUACCUUAGGAGGACUGCCGCUGCCAAAGCGGAGGAAGGAACGGGCAACGGUAGGUCAGUAUGCCCCGAAUGAGCUGGGCUACACGCGGGCUACAAUGGUCGGGACAAUGGGAUGCCACCUCGAGAGGGGGCGGUAAUCUCCGAAACCCGAUCGUAGUUCGGAUUGAGGGCUGAAACUCGCCCUC